This 506-nucleotide ribosomal RNA is filed under the name uncultured Bacillota bacterium. RNAcentral's name for it is "bacterial SSU rRNA". It matches the Rfam family "Bacterial small subunit ribosomal RNA", at positions 1 to 523 of the family's 1533-position model. Lineage: Bacteria; Bacillati; Bacillota. The record is from RNAcentral.
CUUGAGUUUGAUCAUGGCUCAGGACGAACGCUGGCGGCGUGCCUAACACCUGCAAGUCGAGCGGAGUUAAUGGGGAGCUUGCUUCCUAUUAACUUAGCGGCGGACGGGUGAGUAACGCGUGAGUAACCUGCCUCUCAGUGUGGAAUAACGUUCCGAAAGGAACGCUAAUACCGCAUAAAGUAUAGCUGCGGCAUCGCAGCUAUACCAAAGAUUUAUCGCUGAGAGAUGGACUCGCGUCUGAUUAGCUAGUUGGUAGGGUAACGGCCUACCAAGGCGACGAUCAGUAGCCGAACUGAGAGGUUGAUCGGCCACAUUGGGACUGAGACACGGCCCAGACUCCUACGGGAGGCAGCAGUGGGGGAUAUUGCGCAAUGGGGGAAACCCUGACGCAUUUUUUUCGCGUGAAGGAUGAAGGUCUUCGGAUCGUAAACUUCUGUCUUCAGGGACGAUAAUGACGGUACCUGAGGAGGAAGCCACGGCUAACUACGUGCCAGCAGCCGCGGUAA